GCCAAAACGUGGUGUAGUGGCUAGCACGUCUGACCCGGCUUGUCAGAAGACGUGGGUUCAAAUCCCGCCGGUGGCG
Phthorimaea operculella (potato tuberworm) is the source of this 76-nucleotide non-coding RNA. NCBI's taxonomy places the organism in Eukaryota, Metazoa, Arthropoda, Insecta, Lepidoptera, Gelechiidae. The record is from the annotation of a GenBank genome assembly.